Molecule: ribosomal RNA, 494 nt
Filed under: uncultured bacterium
Lineage: Bacteria
Description: bacterial SSU rRNA
Rfam family: Bacterial small subunit ribosomal RNA
Source: RNAcentral
GAUUAUGGCUCAGGAUGAACGCUGGCGGCGCGCCUAACACAUGCAAGUCGAACGGUUAAAGCCCCUUCGGGGGUGCAUAAAGUGGCGAACGGCUGAGUAACACGUGGGCAACCUGCCCCCCGCUUCGGGAUAGCCUCGGGAAACCGUGGGGUAAUACCCGGAUACUCCGCCCACCCCGCAUGGGGAGGGCGGGAAAGCGCAUACGGCGGGGGAUGGGCCCGCGGCCUGUUAGCUCGUUGGCGGGGUAACGGCCCACCAAGGCUAUUAUGGGUAGCCGGGUUGAGAGACCGACCGGCCAGAUUGGGACUGAGACACGGCCCAGACUCCUACGGGAGGCAGCAGUGGGGAAUCUUGCACAAUGGGCGAAAGCCUGAUGCAGCCGACGCCGCGUGCGGGAUGAAGGCCCUCGGGUUGUAAACCGCUUUCAGCAGGGACGAGGCGCAAGUGACGGUACCUGCAGAAGAAGCCCCGGCUAACUACGUGCCAGCCGCUGC